UACGGAGGGAGCUAGCGUUGUUCGGAAUUACUGGGCGUAAAGCGCACGUAGGCGGCUUUACAAGUCAGAGGUGAAAGCCUGGAGCUCAACUCCAGAAUUGCCUUUGAGACUGUAUCGCUUUGAACACGGGAGAGGUGAGUGGAAUUCCGAGUGUAGAGGUGAAAAUUCGUAGAUAUUCGGAAGAACACCAGUGGCGAAGGCGGCUCACUGGACCGUUGUUGACGCUGAGGUGCGAAAGCGGUGGGGAGCAAACAG
This 255-nucleotide ribosomal RNA is filed under the name uncultured bacterium. RNAcentral describes it as "partial 16S ribosomal RNA". It matches the Rfam family "Bacterial small subunit ribosomal RNA", at positions 524 to 775 of the family's 1533-position model. The record is from RNAcentral.